Molecule: ribosomal RNA, 228 nt
Filed under: Triticum aestivum (bread wheat)
Lineage: Eukaryota; Viridiplantae; Streptophyta; Magnoliopsida; Poales; Poaceae
Description: partial small subunit ribosomal RNA
Source: RNAcentral
AUGGACCAUUCCAUCCCUUUUUCCCGUGCAUAUGCAUCGGACUCGGAUGACGAUGGUCCCGAUGAACAAGUUGAUGCGGAGGGGUUCACGGUGAAGGAGGCCGAAGCUUUCGAGAAGGUAUUUGGUCGGGAUCAUCGGACUACAUUGUUCAAGGAUGUUAGUCUCGCUGAUGAAGCCGUGGUAGAUGGUGGCCAAUGUGUACCUAUUGGGGUUAGGCCAAGCUCUCAC